Molecule: long non-coding RNA, 1239 nt
Organism: Cyprinus carpio carpio
Lineage: Eukaryota; Metazoa; Chordata; Actinopteri; Cypriniformes; Cyprinidae
Source: Ensembl
AAAUACAGUUGUUUUUGAGCAAUAGUUAAGUUAAAUAAAACUACCCAGAAGGCUGGGUUAAAUGUUUAAUCCUACUGCUGGGUCAAAACAACCCAUUCGCUCGGUUUGUCUAUAUUUCACCUAGUGCUGGGUUGAUUUUAACCCAGCAUUUUUUAAAGUGUAGCUUAAGUGUAAUUAGAUGUCUGUUGUUAGUAGUAGUUUAUGUAGUGUUGCUAGCACUGAUCUGGAGAUAUUUUGAUAUUUAUCGUAAGAAGACCAAAUGAGUGAUUGGAGUCGAGUGUGCCAGUGAAAGGUCCCUUGACCCAAAACCUUAUAAUGUUUAUUGACUCACCUACCACUUUAAUUUCCCCAACAAUAUGAGCUUCAGACAGCCUGGCUAUCCAUCAGUGUCUGGCAGCUCAGCUCGGCUCUGAAAUAAGUGCUACCAAAGCAUGUUGGAGAACUAAUACCUGGUCUGUAGUGUGUUUAUUGUGUAGUUUACUGUGCUCAGAUCAUAUUCUGAUAACAAACACAUUUAUGAAUACUGUAUCAGAUUGUUAUAGAUAACAACGGGUUGAAGGUCCAUGGGCACACAUCGCAGAGCUAUUGCAAGACAAGCAUAAGACCUAUAUUCCUCGGCUGGGAUUGUGUAGAGCCAUUUGAAGCUGCAUUGAAACUGCAAUUUGGACCUUGAACUCCUUGAACCCCAUUGACGUCCACUAUAUGGAGGAAUAUCCUGGAAUGUUUUCCUCAAUUUCCUCCUUAAUUUCUUUUCGACUGAAGAAAGAAAGACAUGGACAUGAGUGAUUAUGAACACAGUAAUUGCUCACUCCCUGUGUUGGGAUUCAACUUCAUAUGCCGAUGCCCAUUAGGCCAAAUGGGACUGCGAUACAAGCUGGACUGACCCUGAGCUGCUUUAAAACAACAUGUUCUGCCCACCCACCAUCUGUCCUCAGUGAAUGCCCAGCCUUGAGCACAAAUCUGGAAUUGAUAUGGAAAGUACAUCUCCAUCAUCAGCAGUGGUCAGAUAGCUUGAGCUUAACACCGCUUCCAGUAGUAUUUAUCUCCUUGAAAGCCCAGUUACAAGUUUGAAACUUGAACAAAAUUGCUUUGAUUAUCGGUAUAUUAAAGGAAUUGUUUAUACAAAAAUAAAAAUUUGCUAAAAUUGUACUUAUUCAAGAUGUAGUUUGUUUCUUCAUCAGAACAGAUAUGGAGAAAUUUUGCAUCGCAUCACUUGCUUACAAAUGGAUCCUCUACAGU